CCCUACACCGAUCACUCACAGCUCCCCGCACUACCUUCCACGCCUCGCGCUCUUCUGCCUCUGAAUGAAUGGAUUCCUGGAACACAGGGGUGUAACAUCCGGUGACAGCAGCUGUCCAGUGAGGCUGUAUUGAAUAUCUGAACCACAAUGAACUUUGGGAGGCUUCCGUGAAAAGAAGAAAACGGGAGCCAUUUUCUCAAAACUGACUGAGGACUGCAAUGAAGAAGCGAGAGAAAAGAAAGAAUCCCAAAAAGGUGGCUGCUCUCCCACCAAUAAGGUGGCUGACUUGGUGGAAGAUGACAGGGGCUUUAUAAAAGCCUAGAUUAAACCCUGCUCUCAUGGAUGCCCUUCAAAGAAAGGUAUGUACCGGGGAGAAAAGCUUGCUUCAAAGCAACACAGCGCACAAGGGAAGACACUAUGCGAGCGCUUGAUAAGGAAUGGCACCGUCAGGAGCUGGAUGAAGGGCAGCAUGGGAAAAUAGGGCUGAAUGUCUCCGGCUGCUGGCAGCCACUUGGCAUAUAUUCUGAUGGAACAAGUCACAUACGACCUUGGACUAAAUAUGCCACUUAUAAGAUGAUUUACAUUGAAGUCGAUUUAUGUAAGAAUUAUACAUUUCAGACAGAGUGUGUGUGUUGCAUAUUUAGUAUGUACUCUGCCUAAAAGGGAAAUCUGUAUAUAUCUGUAUAUACGGCACAUUUUAUGAGGACAUACACUUCUAAUGGAAAAAGAAAAUAUGGACAGCCGCACUCCAAAAAACCUUGAUGGUUGUCUUUAUUUAAAAAAGGAAAAAU
Long non-coding RNA from Rana temporaria (common frog), 791 nucleotides. RefSeq lists it as uncharacterized. The record is from RefSeq and is a predicted model, not a curated record. Lineage: Eukaryota; Metazoa; Chordata; Amphibia; Anura; Ranidae. The transcript is spliced from 4 exons.